RNAcentral lists this ribosomal RNA (1362 nucleotides) under Triticum aestivum (bread wheat). RNAcentral's name for it is "partial small subunit ribosomal RNA". Lineage: Eukaryota; Viridiplantae; Streptophyta; Magnoliopsida; Poales; Poaceae. The record is from RNAcentral.
AUGGACGGCGGCGGCAAGGAGUUGGGACGGCCGGCGCCGAGCGGUGGUGGGGUUGCGGUUUGGACGUUGGUGGUCUCCAACCUCGCCUACCUCGUGUUUCUCCUCUGCCAGUACCACAUAAACCGGCGACGCUGUGACAAAAGCUCUGUCACAAGAGGUAGACCAGAUGCAAAGGGGGAUGCUCUCUCGCCGGACGCUGUCAUCAACCUCGAGUUCGGCGACCCUACCAUGUACGAGGCGUUCUGGAGGGAGGCUGGGGAGCGGGCGGCGGCGGUGAUCCCCGGGUGGUGGGGGAUGAGCUACUUCUCCAACGCAGGGGGCCUCUGCUGGUACCUGGAGCCUGAGUUGGAGCGCGAGGUGCGCCGCGUCCACCGCCUCGUCGGCAACGCAAUGGCCGACGGCUACCACCUCGUGGUCGGCACUGGCACCACCCAGCUCUUCCAGGCUGCCAUGUACGCCCUAGCCCCCACCAGCACCGACCGGCCCGUCGGCGUCGUCUCUCCGGCGCCCUACUACUCGACGGACCUCCUGCUCUCGGGCUACUACCGGUGGGCGGGGGACGCCAACGCCUUCCACGGCGACCACGGCGGCGAGAACAUCGAGCUGGUCGUCUCGCCCAACAACCCCGACGGCGCCAUCCGCGAGGCCGUCCUAAGCUCCGACUCCGGCAAGGGCAAGGCGAUCCACGACCUGGUGUAUUACUGGCCUCAGUACACGCCCAUCACCAGCCCCGCCGCGCACGACAUCAUGCUCUUCACCAUGUCCAAGCUCAGCGGCCACGGCGGCACCAGGCUCGGGUGGGCGCUGGUCAAGGACAGCGAUGUGGCCAAGAAGAUGGUCUACUUCGUGUAUGGGAGCACCAUCGGCGUGUCCAAGGACUCGCAGCUCCGUGCCGCAAAGAUCCUCGGCGUCGUCUCCGACGCCUACGAACCUGGCCCCGGGGACGGCACGCAGCUCCGCCUCUUCGACUUUGCGCGACGCCGGACGGGGGAGCGCUGGCGGGCCCUGCACGCCGCCGUGGCGGCAACGGGCACCUUCAGCCUCCCAGAUGAGAUCACGGGCUACUGCAACUUCACCAAGCAAACCGUGGCAGCGUACCCCGGUACGCUAGUAGCACUACAUGCCAAUAUAAUUCCGUCAUUGCUCCAACUUGAUCUGAAUUCUCAUGCAUUCUCAGCCUUCGCGUGGCUGCGCUGUUACAAGGAUGGCGUGGAGGACUGCGCCGAGUUCCUGCGCGGGCACGGCAUCGUGGCGCGGGGCGGGGAGCAGUUCGGAGGAGACGCCAGGUGCGUCAGGGUCAACAUGAUGGACAGGGACGCUGUGUUCAACGUGCUCAUACAGCGUCUCUCCUCCAUAACAUGA